GUUAUAAUAAUUUAAUAAAAAUAUUGGUUUUGUAAACCACAAUUGGAAACCCUUAUAGCA
This 60-nucleotide transfer RNA is filed under the name Navis striatus. Its description in RNAcentral is "Argas striatus tRNA-Thr". The record is from RNAcentral. Lineage: Eukaryota; Metazoa; Arthropoda; Arachnida; Ixodida; Argasidae.